Molecule: non-coding RNA, 46 nt
Organism: Echinostoma caproni
Lineage: Eukaryota; Metazoa; Platyhelminthes; Trematoda; Plagiorchiida; Echinostomatidae
Source: Rfam
GCACUGCUGACGAGUCCCAAACAGAAUGAAACAGCUGUCCCGGUGC